AGAGUUUGAUCCUGGCUCAGAUUGAACGCUGGCGGCAGGCCUAACACAUGCAAGUCGAGCGGAUGAAGAGAGCUUGCUCUCUGAUUCAGCGGCGGACGGGUGAGUAAUGCCUAGGAAUCUGCCUGGUAGUGGGGGACAACGUUUCGAAAGGAACGCUAAUACCGCAUACGUCCUACGGGAGAAAGCAGGGGACCUUCGGGCCUUGCGCUAUCAGAUGAGCCUAGGUCGGAUUAGCUAGUUGGUGGGGUAAAGGCUCACCAAGGCGACGAUCCGUAACUGGUCUGAGAGGAUGAUCAGUCACACUGGAACUGAGACACGGUCCAGACUCCUACGGGAGGCAGCAGUGGGGAAUAUUGGACAAUGGGCGAAAGCCUGAUCCAGCCAUGCCGCGUGUGUGAAGAAGGUCUUCGGAUUGUAAAGCACUUUAAGUUGGGAGGAAGGGCAUUAACCUAAUACGUUAGUGUUUUGACGUUACCGACAGAAUAAGCACCGGCUAACUUCGUGCCAGCAGCCGCGGUAAUA
RNAcentral lists this ribosomal RNA (522 nucleotides) under uncultured bacterium. RNAcentral describes it as "bacterial SSU rRNA". It matches the Rfam family "Bacterial small subunit ribosomal RNA", at positions 8 to 525 of the family's 1533-position model. The record is from RNAcentral.